This 288-nucleotide ribosomal RNA is filed under the name Fejervarya limnocharis (Boie's wart frog). Its description in RNAcentral is "partial 12S ribosomal RNA". Lineage: Eukaryota; Metazoa; Chordata; Amphibia; Anura; Dicroglossidae. The record is from RNAcentral.
CACAUGCAAGUCUCAGCACACCAGUGAGGACGCCCUUACCCCUUCUAUAGGACAAGGAGCUGAUAUCAGGCACUUCAACCGCCCAUAACAUCUAGUCCGACCACACCCCCAAGGGUAUUCAGCAGUGAUAAACAUUGUUUAUAAGCGACAGCUUGACUCAGUCAAAGAGAAGAGGGCCGGCCAACCCGGUGCCAGCCGCCGCGGCUAAACCCUAGGGCCCAAAUUGAUAAUACUCGGCGUCAAUCGUGAUUAAAGCUUUACUAAAAUUAGAGUAGAACUAUUAUGUAG